AGGAUUAACGCUGGCGGCGUGCAUGAAACAUGCAAGUCGAGCGCGGUGUGAUGCGGGGUAACCCAAUUCACAUCUAGCGGCGAACGGGUGAGUAACACGUGAGCAACCUACCUUUGAGUUGGGGAUAGCCCUGGGAAACCAGGAUUAAUACCCGAUGUGGUCACAACAGGACAUCCUGAUGUGAGUAAAGGCGUAAGCCGCUCAAUGACGGGCUCGCGGCCUAUUAGCUUGUUGGUGGGGUAACGGCCUACCAAGGCGAUGAUGGGUAGCUGGUCUGAGAGGACGAUCAGCCACACUGGGACUGAGACACGGCCCAGACUCCUACGGGAGGCAGCAGUUAGGAAUUUUCCGCAAUGGGCGAAAGCCUGACGGAGCAACGCCGCGUGAGUGAUGAAGACCUUCGGGUUGUAAGCUCUGUCGGAGGGGAAGAACACAAUGACGGUACCCUCCAAGAAAGCCCGGCUAACUACGCGCCAGCAGCCGCGGUAAU
Molecule: ribosomal RNA, 490 nt
Filed under: uncultured bacterium
Lineage: Bacteria
Description: SSU rRNA
Rfam family: Bacterial small subunit ribosomal RNA
Source: RNAcentral